This 498-nucleotide long non-coding RNA is filed under the name Oryza sativa (Asian cultivated rice). Its description in RNAcentral is "long non-coding RNA (OSAT_LNC000662)". The record is from RNAcentral. Lineage: Eukaryota; Viridiplantae; Streptophyta; Magnoliopsida; Poales; Poaceae.
AAAUCACGAAGCAAAUCACGCAUCGGAGUAAUCGGCAACAACGGAUUGGUGCUCACGGUGAGGACGCCGGGCGGGGAGUGGGUGAAGAGGAUGGACGCGCCCGGAGGGAAGCUGUGGGGCUUGAAGGCCUCCUUGAACUUGUCCGCGGCCGCGCCCUCGGCGUCCGUGUACACGCCGGCGGCCUUCCACGCCGCGACGCAGUUCUCCGUCACCUUGUCCGAGUACUGCUCGCCGGUGAGCGGCAGGAUCAUCGUCACCCUCGUGAACUUCUCGAAAUCGCCUGCAACGCGAGACGACGCCCAUGUCAUGUCGCGCCGCCCGUCGACACGAGCAACAAAUUUAGCGAGAUGAGUUACCGGUGACGACGUCGCGGAAGAAGGCGGCGUCGGCGGCGAGCUCGUCGGCGGACUUGCCGGCCCACUUCUUGGCCAGCGCCGGCACGGCCGCGCCCUCCUCCAGGUACACGCCGAUGGCCGUGAACUUGAUGAAGUUGCCGGC